AGAGUGAACGCUGGCGGUAGGCCUAACACAUGCAAGUCGAACGGCAGCACAGUGGUAGCAAUACCAUGGGUGGCGAGUGGCGGACGGGUGAGGAAUACAUCGGAAUCUACCUUUUCGUGGGGGAUAACGUAGGGAAACUUACGCUAAUACCGCAUACGCCCUUCGGGGGAAAGCCGGGGAUCGCAAGACCUGGCG
This 195-nucleotide ribosomal RNA is filed under the name uncultured soil bacterium. RNAcentral's name for it is "partial 16S ribosomal RNA". It matches the Rfam family "Bacterial small subunit ribosomal RNA", at positions 26 to 217 of the family's 1533-position model. The record is from RNAcentral.